GCCGUCAUAGCUCAGUUGGUAGAGCGAGUUCUUGGUAAGGACUAGGCCGUAGGUUCGAUCCCUGCUGUCGGCACCA
This 76-nucleotide transfer RNA is filed under the name Pseudomonas fluorescens. Its description in RNAcentral is "tRNA-Thr". It matches the Rfam family "tRNA". Rfam says of the family: Transfer RNA (tRNA) molecules are approximately 80 nucleotides in length. Their secondary structure includes four short double-helical elements and three loops (D, anti-codon, and T loops). RNAcentral also lists the same sequence under 3 other names. The record is from RNAcentral. Lineage: Bacteria; Pseudomonadati; Pseudomonadota; Gammaproteobacteria; Pseudomonadales; Pseudomonadaceae.